RNAcentral lists this long non-coding RNA (384 nucleotides) under Ananas comosus (pineapple). RNAcentral describes it as "long non-coding RNA (ACOM_LNC020810)". Lineage: Eukaryota; Viridiplantae; Streptophyta; Magnoliopsida; Poales; Bromeliaceae. The record is from RNAcentral.
UGCCCUUGGCACAAUCUAAUGCAAAAACAGCAAUCUGGGUCCACCGUCAACCACAACGGCACCUGACAGUCCAGAACAGUCUAUACACUACUGUAAAAAUAAACUCGGUAUCCCAGCACGAGCGUAAAUUCAUUCUACACUAUUCUGUAUAUCCACUGCGUACAAACUGUGGCGAUACAAACAAACUACAGGUCCUAAAACUAAAUCUGUUAGUUUUUAGAAAAUGACAGUGUAGAAUCUGAUAGUUUUCUCCUAAGUCAAUUCCAAGUCCAAUAUGUAAAAUUCAACAAAAAUACUAAUUAUGCUCCAAAUUCAGAUUUCAAAGAACAUGCAAAUCAAUGAAUUCGAGUUAUUAAAUAUGAUAUACGAAACAAAAAAUACAUG